GCCAGAACUGAUUUGAAUGCCUCCUCCC
RNAcentral lists this non-coding RNA (28 nucleotides) under Cricetulus griseus (Chinese hamster). Lineage: Eukaryota; Metazoa; Chordata; Mammalia; Rodentia; Cricetidae. The record is from RNAcentral.